Molecule: long non-coding RNA, 213 nt
Filed under: Vigna radiata
Lineage: Eukaryota; Viridiplantae; Streptophyta; Magnoliopsida; Fabales; Fabaceae
Description: long non-coding RNA (VRAD_LNC003596)
Source: RNAcentral
UGCAUUUUGAAUGUCUCCAACAAAGCUUUCGGUGACCACCAAAGGUAAUGUUUCUUUCACUUAACACAAAUGUUCAUUGAUUGAAUACUUUAUCUGUGAUUCUCUUUCAUUUUGACUUAUUGGUUUCGUGCAUAAACAUCAUUUGAAGCACCACUAAGUUCUCUUUUCUCCCACACUAGCGACAACUCUCUACUCUGGCUUUGAACCCACCCU